UGGUGGUGGAGCUAGAGAUGGCCAGCAGUGAGGUUCAAUCGGCAAAAAAAUUAUGAAAAAAAUCAUUUAAAAAUUAAAGAUCCUUUUCUUCUCGAUUUUUGACAAAGUUGGUGGCCGACAAUGAGGUCUGGGGCUAGAAGAGAAAGGGAAGAGGGAGAGGAAGAAAGGUCAGAGCCUUACCCAAGCUUUGAUGGCAUCUUCGAUCUUUAUUUUCUACUGAACACAAUAAUGGGAGGCCAUAGCUUUAAUGGAGAAA
RNAcentral lists this long non-coding RNA (256 nucleotides) under Elaeis guineensis (African oil palm). Its description in RNAcentral is "long non-coding RNA (EGUI_LNC035811)". Lineage: Eukaryota; Viridiplantae; Streptophyta; Magnoliopsida; Arecales; Arecaceae. The record is from RNAcentral.